GGCGGCAGGCCUAACACAUGCAAGUCGAGCGGGGCGGCGGACGGGUGAGUAAUGCCUAGGAAUCUGCCUGGUAGUGGGGGACAACGUUUCGAAAGGAACGCUAAUACCGCAUACUAUCAGAUGAGCCUAGGUCGGAUUAGCUAGUUGGUGAGGUAAUGGCUCACCAAGGCGACGAUCCGUAACUGGUCUGAGAGGAUGAUCAGUCACACUGGAACUGAGACACGGUCCAGACUCCUACGGGAGGCAGCAGUGGGGAGUAUUGGACAAUGGGCGAAAGCCUGAUCCAGCCAUGCCGCGUGUGUGAAGAAGGUCUUCGGAUUGUAAAGCACUUUAAGUUGGGAGGCGUUACCGACAGAAUAAGCACCGGCUAACUCUGUGCCAGCAGCCGCGGUAAUACAGAGGGUGCAAGCGUUAAUCGGAAUUACUGGGCGUAAAGCGCGCGUAGGUGGUUCGUUAAGUUGGAUGUGAAAGCCCCGGGCUCAACCUGGGAACUGCAUCCAAAACUGGCGAGCUAGAGUACGGUAGAGGGUGGUGGAAUUUCCUGUGUAGCGGUGAAAUGCGUAGAUAUAGGAAGGAACACCAGUGGCGAA
RNAcentral lists this ribosomal RNA (590 nucleotides) under uncultured bacterium. RNAcentral's name for it is "bacterial SSU rRNA". It matches the Rfam family "Bacterial small subunit ribosomal RNA", at positions 38 to 719 of the family's 1533-position model. The record is from RNAcentral.